AUACGUAGGGGGCGAGCGUUGUCCGGAAUGAUUGGGCGUAAAGGGCGCGUAGGCGGCGCGGUAAGUCUGGAGUGAAAGUCCUGCUUUCAAGGUGGGAAUUGCUUUGGAUACUGCCGCGCUUGAGUGCAGGAGAGGUUAUCGGAAUUCCCGGUGUAGCAGUGAAAUGCGUAGAUAUCGAGAGGAACACCCGUGGCGAAGGCAAGUCCCUGGAAAACUCCUGACGCUGAGGCACGAAAGCUAGGGGAGUAAACAGGAUUAGAUACCCUGGUAGACCUAGCCCUAAACGGUGCACGUUUGCUGUGGGCGGAUUCGACCCCGUCCGUGGCGAAGCUAACGCGAUAAACGUGCCGCCUGGGAAGUACGGCCGCAAGGUUAAAACUCAAAGGAAUUGACGGGG
RNAcentral lists this ribosomal RNA (397 nucleotides) under uncultured bacterium. RNAcentral's name for it is "partial 16S ribosomal RNA". It matches the Rfam family "Bacterial small subunit ribosomal RNA", at positions 523 to 918 of the family's 1533-position model. The record is from RNAcentral.